GACGAACGCUGGCGGCGUGCUUAACACAUGCAAGUCGAACGGAAAGGCCCUGCUUUUGUGGGUUGCUCGAGUGGCGAACGGGUGAGUAACACGUGAGUAACCUGCCCUUGACUUUGGGAUAACUUCAGGAAACUGGGGCUAAUACCGGAUAGGAGCUCCUGCUGCAUGGUGGGGGUUGGAAAGUUUCGGCGGUUGGGGAUGGACUCGCGGCUUAUCAGCUUGUUGGUGGGGUAGUGGCUUACCAAGGCUUUGACGGGUAGCCGGCCUGAGAGGGUGACCGGCCACAUUGGGACUGAGAUACGGCCCAGACUCCUACGGGAGGCAGCAGUGGGGAAUAUUGCACAAUGGGCGGAAGCCUGAUGCAGCAACGCCGCGUGCGGGAUGACGGCCUUCGGGUUGUAAACCGCUUUCGCCUGCGACGAAGCGUGAGUGACGGUAAUGGGUAAAGAAGCACCGGCUAACUACGUG
This 468-nucleotide ribosomal RNA is filed under the name uncultured bacterium. RNAcentral describes it as "partial 16S ribosomal RNA". It matches the Rfam family "Bacterial small subunit ribosomal RNA", at positions 28 to 507 of the family's 1533-position model. The record is from RNAcentral.